GAAACUCAAAUGAAUUGACGGGACCCGCACAAGCGGUGGAUGAUGUGGUUUAAUUCGAUGCAACGCGAAAACCUUACCACCUUUGACAUGUACGGAACCUUUAGAGAUAGAGGGGUGCUCGAAAGAGAGCCGUAACACAGGUGCUGCAUGGCUGUCGUCAGCUCGUGUCGUGAGAUGUUGGGUUAAGUCCCGCAACGAGCGCAACCCUUGUCAUUAGUUGCUACAUUCAGUUGGGCACUCUAAUGAGACUGCCGGUGACAAGCCGGAGGAAGGUGGGGAUGACGUCAAGUCCUCAUGGCCCUUAUAGGUGGGGCUACACACGUCAUACAAUGGCUGGUACAAAGGGUUGCCAACCCGCGAGGGGGAGCCAAUCCCAUAAAGCCAGUCGUAGUCCGGAUCGUAGUCUGCAACUCGACUACGUGAAGUCGGAAUCGCUAGUAAUCGUGGAUCAGAAUGUCACGGUGAAUACGUUCCCGGGUCUU
RNAcentral lists this ribosomal RNA (482 nucleotides) under uncultured Rhodoferax sp. Its description in RNAcentral is "bacterial SSU rRNA". It matches the Rfam family "Bacterial small subunit ribosomal RNA", at positions 896 to 1382 of the family's 1533-position model. Lineage: Bacteria; Pseudomonadati; Pseudomonadota; Betaproteobacteria; Burkholderiales; Comamonadaceae. The record is from RNAcentral.